UCUCCGUAGGUGAACCUGCGGAGGGAUCAUUACAGAGUUCUCGCCCUCGCGGGUAGAUCUCCCACCCACUGUUAUCGUUACUGUGUUGCUUUGGCGGGCCGCCGGGCCCCGCUCGGCCGCCGGCUCGGGCUGGCGCGCGCCCGCCAGAGGCCCAGCAAACUCUGAAUGUUAGUGUCGUCUGAGUACUAUAUAAUAGUUAAAACUUUCAACAACGGAUCUCUUGGUUCUG
This 229-nucleotide unclassified non-coding RNA is filed under the name plant metagenome. RNAcentral's name for it is "partial contains small subunit ribosomal RNA, internal transcribed spacer 1, and 5.8S ribosomal RNA". The record is from RNAcentral.